RNAcentral lists this transfer RNA (85 nucleotides) under Myxococcales bacterium. Its description in RNAcentral is "tRNA-Tyr". The record is from RNAcentral. Lineage: Bacteria; Pseudomonadati; Myxococcota; Myxococcia; Myxococcales.
GGGGUGCUAGACCGCUAUGGAGGCGGAGCGGUUUGUAGAACCGCUGUCCUGACCGACCCUCCAGGUUCGAUUCCUGGGCACCCCA